This 214-nucleotide long non-coding RNA is filed under the name Phoenix dactylifera (date palm). Its description in RNAcentral is "long non-coding RNA (PDAC_LNC013022)". The record is from RNAcentral. Lineage: Eukaryota; Viridiplantae; Streptophyta; Magnoliopsida; Arecales; Arecaceae.
UUUUUGGGAUGAAAAUCAAGAUGAAUACCCCCAAACCUAAACCUAACAUUGUCCUCAAUGUUAAGAAAUAAUCUAAGAGAAUUGGGUUGCCUCCCAACAAGCGCUAAGUUUAUUGUCUUCAGCCAGACAUAGUGAGAUAGUUUUUGCAUCUCCUUCUAUGAGGUCAUCUAUUUUGUCUAUCAUAAAACACUCAAUUUCCCUUGCGGGUUGGUCG